ACUUGAAGACGGGAUUACCCAAACAUUUCCCUUCCCUGCUACACUAGCAGCCAGGAAUAUCCUGUUGCUGCAGUCUGAAAACGGAACAGUGUGGAAGGAGAGCCCUGUGGCUUGGAUGGGGCUUCUCACCACAGGGAGGUUGGAGCCAAAUCACUUGGAGAGCUGAGAAGAUCUGUUCAGCUGGAAGGUGCUACAGAUCCAACGUGAUGAGUGAUACACAGGGAGCACAUCCUGGAGAAACCCCUGGCAAUUGGGAUGUGAUUCCACAGUUCUUUAGGAAAAGGACUUGCUGCAUGGAGAGGUCUCUGGGAGGGAGCAGAGGUGGUGUUGGUGGCAGUGCCUGCACAGCAGCAGGGUGGUGGCAGCCAGAAGAUUGAGCCCACAUACAAGAAGCCACAGAUUCCAACCUCCUGCAAUGGUCAGGGACAACUUCUACUGUUCCAGGU
This is a long non-coding RNA of Oenanthe melanoleuca, 446 nucleotides long. RefSeq lists it as uncharacterized. Lineage: Eukaryota; Metazoa; Chordata; Aves; Passeriformes; Muscicapidae. The transcript is spliced from 3 exons. The record is from RefSeq and is a predicted model, not a curated record.